RNAcentral lists this ribosomal RNA (335 nucleotides) under uncultured bacterium. Its description in RNAcentral is "bacterial SSU rRNA". It matches the Rfam family "Bacterial small subunit ribosomal RNA", at positions 28 to 334 of the family's 1533-position model. The record is from RNAcentral.
GAUGAACGCUGGCGGCGUGCUUAACACAUGCAAGUCGAACGGAGAUAUGAAGCGAGCGGGAAGUGCUUGCACAGAACAAUCAUUUCAUAACUUAGUGGCGGACGGGUGAGUAACGCGUGGGUAACCUGCCUUAUACCGGGGGAUAACACUUAGAAAUAGGUGCUAAUACCGCAUAAGCCCACAGCUCGGCAUCGAGCAGAGGGAAAAGGAGUGAUCCGCUUUGAGAUGGCCUCGCGUCCGAUUAGCUAGUUGGUGAGGUAACGGCCCACCAAGGCGACGAUCGGUAGCCGGACUGAGAGGUUGAACGGCCACAUUGGGACUGAGACACGGCCCAG